This is a long non-coding RNA of Carassius auratus (goldfish), 1936 nucleotides long. Lineage: Eukaryota; Metazoa; Chordata; Actinopteri; Cypriniformes; Cyprinidae. The record is from Ensembl.
AUGAUUCUGCUGACCGUGAUACAUUACUGGAGUCUUGCAGCUGCCAUGUAUAGGAAGCGUCUACUCUUUGCAUGGAGUGACGAAGCACAUCCUAUUCUGUCACACACACACGCACACACACAUGCAUACUUAUAUUUAUACAAAGGACAUUCAUUUCAGAAUGAGCUUUAUUUAAACUUCUUAUUCAUUUUCAUUUGUUUCAGUAUGAUCGAAUCAGUAACCACAGGAAACACAAUUCAUUCAUUCAUUCUCUAUUUAUUGUUAGGUUUACAUUUACAAUACAUUGUGACUGAUUUGAAGUGCACACAAAUUAGUUAUGUUGUAUCUGUUAUUUAUAUUUGUUUCUAUUUUGAGUUUAAGUUUACCGGUGAUCAACUUCAGCCAUGGUCCGUUGCAGCCGCAUCCUGGUGUGACGAAAAACAAGAGUCCGGCAGGAACACCAUAUUUAAGCUUAUUGGUUCCGUCUGGACGUACCAUUCACUGGGAGUUUCCGGGGGGAGGAAGGAACGUUGAUGUGUUUAUUAAUUGAUUUAUUUAGUUGUACAUUUAUGAUAUUUGAUUACAUUUUGCUUUCCUUAUCUUUAUUUACAAUGUAUCUCUGUUUGAUUUGAUUUAUGUAAGGUUAUAUGUUGUAUGUAAAGUUAAAUUGUUUCCCCUCUUAAUUUGUAAUGGGCCCAUCCCUUCCUUUAUAAGCUGUUGCUUUGUUCAUUUGAGCAGGUCAGUUUUAGUUUGUUUGUUUGGUUUUUGUCCAAUUGUUUUGAUCUCGGUUUCUGUUUGUUUAUUUUUGUUGUAAGUGUGUAAAGUUAUUUUGUUUUGGGGUUCAAAUAAAGACCCAUUUGUUGCGCAACGCUUGUGUUCCUUGUUCUUGGCUUCUCGGUCCCUCACAGGGUGUUAUGGGAAGUGUUUCCGGUUCCGGUUUACCUAAUUAAUGCAGCCUAAAAAUCCUUUAACGGAUUUGGAUAUUAAAAGCAUAUUAGGAUGUUAUGUGUAUGCCAGGUUAAAGAGAUGGGUCUUUAAUCUAGAUUUAAACUGCAAGAGUGUGUCUGCCUCUCGAACAAUGUUAGGUAGGUUAUUCCAGAGUUUAGGCGCCAAAUAGGAAAAGGAUCUGCCGCCCGCAGUUGAUUUUGAUAUUCUAGGUAUUAUCAAAUUGGCUGAGUUUUGAGAACGUAGCGGACGUAGAGGAUUAUAAUGUAAAAUAAGCUCAUUCAAAUACUGAGGUGCUAAACCAUUCAGGGCUUUUUAAGUAAUAAGCAAUAUUUUAAAUGAUUAAAUUAUGAUUUAAAUGAUAAAUUGUGUUGUGGGAUACAGUAUUCUGCAGUAAAAGCUGAAACCACCAAAACUAUUAAACAGGACACAUCCCCCAACAUUGUUCCAUCAAUACUUGAUUUUCAAUAGCAGAUUCCUAAACUUUUACACUGCACACAGUGUGCUCUGCUUGCUUAGUAUAUCAUUUGGACAUAAAUACAUUUUUAUUUACUUCAAAGUUUAGUGUGUAUAUACUAUAUUUUGCUUCUGAAUAUAACAAUCAAGGGUAUAUGUGAGGUAUUAGUUUCACUUGUCCAUGCAAUUACAAUAAUCAGACUCUUAAACUUUCAAGAUAAAAAACAAACAAACAAACAAAUAAACAUAACCAAAAAACACAAUAAAUGUAUGAUAAAUGUUGUCCUUAAGACUUAUGCUCUAUAUUUCUAGACUACAUAAGCGUUUGUAAAGUCAUACGAUUUGGGUGAGUAACAGACCUACAUUUAUCUCAGUUUUUCUCAAUUGCAACUGGAUCACUGAAGUGAACUCAAGGACUGGGCUGCAUUUCCCAAAAGGACUGCAAGCCUUAAUAGAUGCUAGAAUCCAUUGGUGGGAAUAGUUUCUAUGACUUACGUAGGCUAAUAGUGAAUUACGGUGACUUUGGGAAAUGCCGCUCAGAGCAGUCUGAUUCAUA